RNAcentral lists this non-coding RNA (25 nucleotides) under Arabidopsis thaliana (thale cress). Lineage: Eukaryota; Viridiplantae; Streptophyta; Magnoliopsida; Brassicales; Brassicaceae. The record is from RNAcentral.
AUUAUCCACUCAAACCCGUCACACC